CCCUGAAUGGAAAUGAGGGAGAAACUCUCAUCACGAUGGUGAGGGCCGGAGCAUGGUCAGCUUCGGCAAAUUAUUAACUUGGAUGCAGAGACCACAUCCUA
Molecule: non-coding RNA, 101 nt
Filed under: uncultured Prevotella sp.
Lineage: Bacteria; Pseudomonadati; Bacteroidota; Bacteroidia; Bacteroidales; Prevotellaceae
Description: engA RNA
Rfam family: engA RNA
Source: RNAcentral